CCUACGGGAGGCAGCAGUGAGGAAUAUUGGUCAAUGGCCGUAAGGCUGAACCAGCCAAGUCGCGUGAAGGAAGAAGGAUCUAUGGUUUGUAAACUUCUUUUAUAGGGGAAUAAAGGUAUCCACGUGUGGAUAUUUGCAUGUACCCUAUGAAUAAGCAUCGGCUAACUCCGUGCCAGCAGCCGCGGUAAUACGGAGGAUGCGAGCGUUAUCCGGAUUUAUUGGGUUUAAAGGGUGCGUAGGUUGUUGUUUAAGUCAGCGGUGAAAGUUUGUGGCUCAACCAUAAAAUUGCCGUUGAAACUGGAAGACGUGAGUGUGUGUGAGGUAGGCGGAAUGCGUGGUGUAGCGGUGAAAUGCAUAGAUAUCACGCAGAACUCCGAUUGCGAAGGCAGCUUACUAAGCCAUAACUGACACUGAAGCACGAAAGCGUGGGGAUCAAACAGGAUUAGAUACCCGUGUAGUC
RNAcentral lists this ribosomal RNA (460 nucleotides) under uncultured bacterium. Its description in RNAcentral is "partial 16S ribosomal RNA". It matches the Rfam family "Bacterial small subunit ribosomal RNA", at positions 338 to 795 of the family's 1533-position model. The record is from RNAcentral.